AUACGUAGGGGGCGAGCGUUGUCCGGAAUGAUUGGGCGUAAAGGGCGCGUAGGCGGCCCGGUAAGUCUGGAGUGAAAGUCCUGUUUUUAAGAUGGGAAUUGCUUUGGAUACUGUCGGGCUUGAGUGCAGGAGAGGUAAGUGGAAUUCCAAGUGUAGCGGUGAAAUGCGUAGAGAUUGGGAGGAACACCAGUGGCGAAGGCGACUUACUGGACUGUAACUGACGCUGAGGCGCGAAAGUGUGGGGAGCAAACAGGAUUAGAUACCCUGGUAGUCCACACUGUAAACGAUGAAUGCUAGGUGUAAGAGGUAUCGACCCCUUUUGUGCCGGAGUCAACACAAUAAGCAUUCCGCCUGGGGAGUACGGCCGCAAGGUUGAAACUCAAAGGAAUUGACGGGG
This 397-nucleotide ribosomal RNA is filed under the name uncultured bacterium. Its description in RNAcentral is "partial 16S ribosomal RNA". It matches the Rfam family "Bacterial small subunit ribosomal RNA", at positions 523 to 918 of the family's 1533-position model. The record is from RNAcentral.